UGCAUCGGCCGUGAAUCGAACCCUGGCCGCCCGCGUGGCAGGCGAGCAUUCUACGACUGAACCACCGAUGC
This 71-nucleotide transfer RNA is filed under the name Cordylochernes scorpioides. Its description in RNAcentral is "tRNA-Gly". The record is from RNAcentral. Lineage: Eukaryota; Metazoa; Arthropoda; Arachnida; Pseudoscorpiones; Chernetidae.